AGACCUAUACAAUAUUCUAGAAAUCUCCCCAAUUUCAUCUGCUUUUUUCUCCAACCAAACCCAACAUACUAGAAGUCUCCCCCAGUAGAAAUAUAUUUAUCCCAGUCAGUACAUUUUGAAGACUUGUGUAGGAUUAAUUCAUCUUCUCCCCAAGGUCAGUUCUUUAAUUUUCUUCCAGUUCUUCCCAAAAAAAUAAAAUAAUUUCAUGUUCAAUGAGUGUUCCAAUUCCAGACCUGAUUUUCUUCCAAUUCUUUCUCUCAAUUUUUUUCCCAAACCUGCUACCAUUUCAAAAUUUCAUGACUGAAAUAUAUGGAUCAUUGUAUUUGAAAGAGAUUAUUUAUGUCAGAUUAUCUCCCCAAUGUUCUUUGGCUUAACCCUCUUUCUUCUGUUAUUUUUGUAUGAUCUUAAUUUAUGUUUUGAAUUUUAGUAUUAAUAAUGUCUACUAUAUAGAAAAGACAAAGAUGGUAGAAAUUCGAAAAAAACAUAAGUAUGAGGGAAUUGCUAAAAUUAGAGGGAAAAAAGGAUUUUUCUAAAAACUUUUCUAUUAGAGAUCCAAAGAAAGAGUUUUAACCAAAAGAGAGAAAAAAAAAAGACUCAAUAAUGACUGGGGGAACUACUUUUACGAUGGUGGACUUUGUAGAAAUCCUAAUUGUCCAUGACCAUGGUUCUAAGUGUUUCUAAUUAAAAAAAAUUUUAGUCUUUUGAUGUAGUAAAAUUGGUAAUGUAGACAUUGAGUACUUUGUAUGGUCAUUGUUUUAUUCUUUAUAAAACUUUUAUUUUUUGGGAGCUAAGUUAGUGCAAGCAAAUGUAUAUCGUCUUUGGACUUUGUAUGAAAAGUUUUUCACCUUUCUUUUUAGGCUUCCCGUCUUUGCAUAAAAAUGUUGUUGGGAAGAGAAUGGAGCGGUGAUAAUCCCUCUUUUAGAUGUAACAUUGUAGCUGUUUGUUUGCUCCUGUCUUAGGAGCCAUAUGUUUAUCAAUGUAGGAGAUUCAAAUGUUGUGGUUUUCCCUUUUAGUAUUUGGAUUUUUGGAAAACAUGAAGACUUCUCAUGGUAAACAUCUAAAAAAUUAAGUCAUUGUGACGACCUGGCCCGUCGUCUCAUGGGUUACCGCUCCAUUUUUUUUCCAAUUCUCAGCUUCUUUAUGCUUUAUUAUCCGUAUCUUAUGUGAUCGAGUUGGUUUGGAGUGGUUUUGAUAAGAAAUGAGACACUUAGUCUCUUUUAAGAAGGCUUAAGUUGGAAAAGUCAACCUGAUAUUGACUUAUGAGUUAGAGGGCUCAGAUAUGAAUUCUGAUGAUUCGGUUAGCUUCGGGGAUGAUUUGUGACUUAUGAGUGUGAUCGGAAGUAAUUUUGGAGGUCCGGUGUAGAAUUAAGCUUGAAUUGGCGAAGUUAGUAUUUUGGCGAAUUCCGGUUGAUAAGUGAGAUUUUGAUCCAAGGGUCAGAAUAGAAUUCCGGGAGUUGCUGUAGCUUCGUUAGGUGAUUUGGGAUGUGUGUGCAAAAUUUCAGGUCAUUCGGACGUGGUUUGGUCAGGUUUUUGAUCGAAAGUGUAUUUCGGAAAUUUUUAGAAAAUUAGGCUUGAAUUUGAUGAGUUUUGGGUAAUUUGAUGUUGUUUGAGGUGUUUUGAUUAUUGGAAGAGGUUUGAAUAAUAUUAUGAAUUAUGUUGGCAUGUUUGGUCGGGGUCCCAUGAGGCUCGGAUAUGUUUUGGAAGAGUUUUUGGAAGAUUUUUGCCGUUUGAGCAUAAGCAUGUAAUGAUCCAAAUGUCCAUUUUUAGUUCUAGAGAUCGAAAUUUUAUUUCGAGAUUUCCAGAAUUUAAAUAAUGAAUUAUAGGAGUGAUCUGGAAAGUUUGGUCUAAUUUCAUCAAGUCGCGAUUGAGUUUGUGACACGAAACAUGAGUUAAUUGUUUAACGAGCGAAAUGGAUAUCGCACUGAACAAACAAGCUCCGAAUUGAGUUUCGAUUGAAGGACUAUGUUCGUAUCAUUAUUUGUGACUCAUAGGAACAAGAAUCAUUGAAUUCCGAGUUCGUAUGAUGGAGUUAGAGCCAUUUUAGUAAAAAGAAAAGUGCUGCAAUUUCUUUGGCUGCUGCUGUUUUUUUUUUUAGCAGCGUGAACAGUAACCGCGCGGGUGAAUAAUACUUCCGAAAAAUUCUGGGCAGUGAGUUUAAUAAACAUUUCACCCGCGAUCCAAGUCCCAUUUCCUCUAUUUUUGAGCAACCUUGAGAGCUUUUGGACGAGGAUUGAAAGGGGGUUCGACAGGAAGUGAUUGGAGGUAAGUCCUAUGAACUAAAAACACGUUUAUUGUGAAAUUGAUCUUGGAAUCCAUGGAAAUUUAGCAAAAGAGGAAGAACUAGGGCUUGAGUUUUAAUAUUUCAAAUUUGGAUUUGAGGGGUCAUUUGGACUCCGAUUUUGGUAAAUUUAAUAUGUAUAGACUCGUGGCGAGAUAAGGAAUCCGGUGAUGUCAAUUUUCCGAUUUUUCGAGACGUGGGCCCGGGGCUCGGGUUUUGCCAAAUUCGUGAAUUUUGAUAUUUUUCGAGUGCUUUCGAUUGGGUAUUGCCUCUUUAGCAUUAUGUGACAUAUUCGUUGCGAUUUUGGGCAGAUUCGACGCACGUGGAGGCCAAUUCGAGGGGCAAAGGCGUCGCGAAUUAAAGAAAUAGCCGGUUUGAG
RNAcentral lists this long non-coding RNA (2657 nucleotides) under Nicotiana tabacum (common tobacco). Its description in RNAcentral is "long non-coding RNA (NTAB_LNC011888)". Lineage: Eukaryota; Viridiplantae; Streptophyta; Magnoliopsida; Solanales; Solanaceae. The record is from RNAcentral.